This is a long non-coding RNA of Gallus gallus (chicken), 4032 nucleotides long. The record is from Ensembl. NCBI's taxonomy places the organism in Eukaryota, Metazoa, Chordata, Aves, Galliformes, Phasianidae.
AAAGACAGAAAAAUAAAGUAAUUUUAUGUAAGAUUUCUUUGGGAGCUGUUAUUCUUCACAGAUAACUGCACUCCCUUUGUGUUUCACAUGUAAAAUCAGUUGUCAAGAACACCUGUAUAAUUUGGUGUCGCCUUAUCAACUUUAUUUUCUGAUUACACUGAUUGUCAAAAUUUCUUAUAAUUCGAAGUGAUUUUUUUUUUUUGAAUGAAAAACAAGAGGCUCAGAAUAGCCUUAAAAGUAGCCCAGUAAAGGUUAUGAUAUUUCUCAUUUAAAGCUGAACUGUGUUGACACAAUAUCAAGUGAUUUGACAGUAUUCCUAGAAAUUGAAUGAUUUGCAUACGAAAAUUAGAGUUUGUAAUUAAAAUCUUUAAUAUAUUCACUGGUGACAUAGGGGCAGUCUCCAGUGUCAGUGUAGACUGGACAGUGAACUAAUUGAGAGCAGCUCUGCCUACAAGGGUUUGCAGAUAUUCAUGGAUGAAAAACUGGGUAUGAACUGACAGUGUGUUUACAGCCUGGAAGGCCAACAGCAUCCUAGACUGCAUCAAAAGAGUAGUGGCCAGCAGGGUGAGGGAUGGGAUUGUCUCCCUCUGCUCUGCCUUCAUGAGGACCUAUCUGAAGUACGGCAUCCAGGGCUGGGGCUCCCAGUACAGGUGUGGUGCAGAGCUACUGCAGUACGUCCAGCUGAAGACUAUAACCAUGAUCAGAGGGAGGUCUGUAGCAUCUCUUCUAUGAAGAAAAGCGGAGGGAGCUGGCUUGUUUAAGCUUGUAGAAGUGAAGGCUAUGGGGAGUCCUCAUUGUGGCCUUUCUGUAAAGGAGGCCUAUAGGAAAGACAAGAAAACUUUUUACCAGGGCUUGUAGUGGCAGGAAAGGAUAACUUACAGUAGUUUUAAACUGAAAAGGAGUAGAUUCAGAUUGGAUAUAGAGAAGAAAGUUUUCAUACUGAGGGUGAUGAAAUAGACAUUAGAACAGGAAUAUCAGGGAAAUUUUGCCCAAUUUUGGAAGUGUUUGAAGUUUGCCUUGACAGUGGAAGGUGUUUCUGAUCAUGGCAGGAGUUUUAGACUAGAUGAUCAUUAAGAAUUCCUUCCAACUGAAACCAUUUUAUGAUUCUAUGGUUUUAUGAUCCUGUGCUUUAUGGACUACUGAGCUAGCAUUGCAGCAUGUAGUACUGUGGCAUAUAUGGCUAAAAAAUUACUGACAAAUAUGAAUAAUUUUUUUGUGUGAAAUUCACAGUUGCUAACAGCUCUUUGGAAAAGGCAAAGCUUAGGACCUGUAACACCCUAUAACCUUCAGAAACUCACCAUGUAUAUAAAUUAGACAAUCACGAGAAACACCAAAGCCAGUGUCUCAAGUGUCCUUUAUAGUGGUCUCCUGUGAGGGCUUUAAUAAAGAAGAAAGAUUCUGUACCAGGGAACACUCCACAUGUUGAAAAAUCUAGUAGUGUUUACAGGAAAUAACGACAAGUUCCAGCUUUAUGAUACCCCAAAACUGUGCUGUUGUGCUCUUUUGAAAUAUGAGACUUCUGCGUAGUUCUUAACCAUUGCAGGUGAAUAUGCAGAGGCACAAUUCUACAUUAGGAAACCAAAGAAUCAAAUUCUGGUACUCUCUCAGCUGUCUAGUCUAAAACUAGUGGAAAGUGGCAUUUGAGCCCAGUUGGCAUCAUAUUUUUCUCUCACUAAAGGGAAUUUCCUAGCAGUCCCACAGUAACAUUACAGAGAAGUAAAGUUGUCUACUAACAGUGAGAUUCAGUGUAGGCAUGGUUCUGCCGUACUCCUGCCCACUGUCUAUCAAGAUUCUUCCUCCCUUCCUCCCUAUGCACAGUGAUGAAUCAGCUCUCGCUCAACACAGCAGUGGCUUAAUAGGAUCAAAGGUUUCCUACAUAAAUGUUAGGAUUUUGGAAGAGCACAUUCCAAACAAAACUCUCCCAUAGUAAAAUAAAGUAGCUGAAAUGGGAUUUUGACUAUAUCAUUCUAAUUUCUUAUUCCUCUUUAAAAAAUUCUCGCUUCAAGACUUUUGGUUGUGCUGUAGCAACCACAGUGUAGUGAAAUGAUCCUUGUUCAUACAAUAACUUGGCAGGAACACAUUAGGAGUCUUUCAGUGCUUCAGUGUUUAGCAUGUUAGAAACACUUAGCUCUGCCUGUGCAGUUUUGUCCUUUACAGUCAAACUAAAUCCUGUAACUGCUGAUUGCAAGGGAGGUGUCUAAAUAUGGAACAGCUAACUCCUGUGUGGGACCCAGCAGUAAAGGUUUUAUAAUAAACCAUUUUUCUUGUAGAAGCAAAAUCACUGCAAGAAUAAAAAAAGUCCAUGGGAGAAUUUUCUGACUGCCUCUAAAUGUGGUGCAACAUUUAACUCCCACUGUGCCCACCCUUCUGCCAUAGGCCUGUCAUGAUGCUAAAGAAAGUUAUUUAAAAUAAUAGGGGUGACUCCCACUAUGUGAAACCAAGCUGAUCAUUGUCAGCAUUUUGUACAGAAUCCGUGCCUUGGAAUGAAUUAUGUAUUGUAGAAGUAAUAGCUUCUAGAAAUUGUGCAUGAAACUUUUCUACUUCCUAUGAUGAAAGAGAACUAAAGAACACAUAGAGAAAGUACUGUCUGUGUCUUAUAAUGGUGUAAAUUACCUUCAGCGUCAAGAAUGUACUCAUUUGCAUGAGAUAGAGGAGUUGAAGGAGCAGCUAUCUCAGGAGGUGUGGAGAUGUAAUUUUAGUAUAAAGCAAAAAAUUAACCUCUGCUUUGGUGGGAAACUGCAGAAUGUAUAAGGGAAUUGAGCUGAGAAACUGCUUUGCUUUCCGGCUGUUGGUUUAACCUCACACAGUGUAACUAUAAAGUGUGGCCACUGUCUUGGUGUAAGUUUCUGUUCCAGUUGCAUAUGGCAUUGCAUGAAGCUGUGGCUGGUACAGGAAAGAAAACUGAAUAAUACCAUAGAAUCAUUUGAGCUGGGAGGGACCCUUAAAUUCGUCUUGUCCACCUCCUCUGCAAUAAUCAGGAACACGUACAGCUAGACUGGGGUUCUUGGAACCCUGUCCAGCCUGAAUUUGAAUAUCUCCAUGGAUGAGGCACCCACCACCUCUCUGGGCAACCUGUGCAGUUGCCUCACCACCCUUAUUGUAAAAAUCUUUUUCUUUAUGUCCAAUCUAAUUCUCCUCCCUUUUAGUUUGAAACCAUUUCCCUUUGUCUUAUCACCAAAUUGCUAUUAGUACUGGCAGUAUGGCAGUAGGUAAUUGAAUAUUUUUUUGCAAAAAAGCAUUUUCUUUUUUCUUCCAUAGCCAAGUAAAAUACUUUAAAAUCAUAGAAUCACAGAGUAGUUGAGGUUGGAAGGACCCUCUGGCUGUCAGCUGGUCCAGCAGAGCAUGUCUCUUGCUUUUGUCAUUGGCUUUGGUGCUCUCCAGGGGCUCAUUUGGAUUGCUUGCUGUAUUGUCCCUCCAAAAGCCAUGAAGGUGGCUGAAAGCCCCCAUGAGAACUGGGACUUUCUAUGUGUCUGUAGAAGGCCUAAUCCACUUGUUUUUACUAAUCAGGUGGCAUAUAGUAGGCAUGCACUACAGUCUCACUGCUACUGAUCUGCUCAUAAAUUCUUACCCAUGAGAAUUCAGUUGGCUUGUCAUCCAACCCCACAUAGAGCUUCAUGCAUUUCCACAUUUUCUCACAUAUGGGAAGCUUAACUUCCUUGUCUUAUGGGUCUGGUUUUCCUAAGGAACAUGUACUCCAAUCAGCAAUACAACAAUACGUCUUACCUUAAAAAAUAUCUGGCCAGUCAUUUUAUUAUAGCCAGGCAUGAGCCAAUGACAUGCACUUCCUCAAGAAGAUAUUACUAGCAGAAAACACAGUGCCUGGACUUGGUACUCAUGCUGAACAGCAUAAGGUUCUAAUUAUGUAUGCAGCAAAGACAUUAACUAUGAAUAGUACUUUGAGCUUAUUCCUAAUCCUAAGUAUUUCCCGCUCAUACACUGCAAAUCUCAAUUUUCUUUUCCUAUCAAAAUUUCGUUUCCAUAAUUAAUCAACCUCAGUGCAUUUGUUAUACCAGCUAACAGAAGAAUAAGAUU